GACCAGCAACUCUCAAGGAAUUAUCUGGGAGGGCUGAGACUUAUGGUCAUGUAGACUGAACAGCUACCAGAUCCUUGGACUUUCUGUCAAGAGAUAACCAUUGUUGGAACAUUUGGACCACACACAGCCCGUCCCAAAGCAGAAACAUCUGAAGACAAUAAGGACACCUUAGACACACUGGACCUAUCUUUGGAGAAUUCAUCUGAAACAUGGACUUCAUCUUCAGGAUGUAUAUUCUUGAAAGAAAGGUCACUGGGCAAUUCAGAGCAAGGCAACGACCCAGCCCCACUCUGGACAUUAGCAAUUUCAAUUUUGUUGGAUGCUUCUAGGUCAGUGUAUUCCUUGGCUAAUUUAGAAGAAGAAUUGGUUUUAGAACUGACAAAUGUGGGAAAUUCAUCUAUUAUUUCAAUUGGAGAUGAAUCUGAAAAUGUUUCACUUUCUUUUAUUUUGUCUUCCUUAGAAGUAAGCAAGUCAUCGUUUGAAUAAAUUGCAGUAUUAAGCUCUUCCAUCUGCAAA
Long non-coding RNA from Peromyscus eremicus (cactus mouse), 516 nucleotides. RefSeq lists it as uncharacterized. Lineage: Eukaryota; Metazoa; Chordata; Mammalia; Rodentia; Cricetidae. The record is from RefSeq and is a predicted model, not a curated record. The transcript has 2 exons.